GGCACAAGUUUGAAGUAAAGUAGAUUAGUAUGAUCAGCUGACCCUACUCAAAUAUUCUGCUUCAAGUUUGUGCCA
This is a non-coding RNA of Haemonchus placei, 75 nucleotides long. Lineage: Eukaryota; Metazoa; Nematoda; Chromadorea; Rhabditida; Trichostrongylidae. The record is from Rfam.